GAUGAACGCUGGCGGCGUGCCUAAUACAUGCAAGUAGAACGCUGAAGGAGGAGCUUGCUCUUCUGGAUGAGUUGCGAACGGGUGAGUAACGCGUAGGUAACCUGCCUGGUAGCGGGGGAUAACUAUUGGAAACGAUAGCUAAUACCGCAUGACAACAGUUAUUGCAUGAUAACUGUUUAAAAGGGGCAACUGCUCCACUACCAGAUGGACCUGCGUUGUAUUAGCUAGUUGGUGAGGUAACGGCUCACCAAGGCGACGAUACAUAGCCGACCUGAGAGGGUGAUCGGCCACACUGGGACUGGGACACGGCCCAGACUCCUACGGGAGGCAGCAGGAGGGAAUCUUCGGCAAUGGACGGAAGUCUGACCGAGCAACGCCGCGUGAGUGAAGAAGGUUUUCGGAUCGUAAAGCUCUGUUGUAAGAGAAGAACGAGUGUGAGAGUGGAAAGUUCACACUGUGACGGUAUCUUACCAGAAAGGGACGGCUAACUACGUG
RNAcentral lists this ribosomal RNA (495 nucleotides) under uncultured bacterium. RNAcentral's name for it is "partial 16S ribosomal RNA". It matches the Rfam family "Bacterial small subunit ribosomal RNA", at positions 28 to 507 of the family's 1533-position model. The record is from RNAcentral.